AUGAAGAUGGUUGAAACUGAGAAACAUUUGGUAUUUCCAUUGGUAUACAAACUUAUUGAGUUGGCUUUGAUAUUGCCGGUGUCAACGGCAUCUGUUGAGAGAGCUUUUUCAGCAAUGAAGAUUAUCAAGACUAAACUGCGUAGCAAGAUCAAUAAUGAAUGGUUCAAUGACUUGAUGAUAUGUUACACCGAGCGGGAGUUAUUCAAAUCAGUUGAUGAUAAGGAUAUUAUUCGAACUUUUACUGCAAUGGGGUCUCGGAAAGGGCAUUUGCCUCGUAAUUUUCUUUAG
RNAcentral lists this ribosomal RNA (288 nucleotides) under Triticum aestivum (bread wheat). RNAcentral's name for it is "partial small subunit ribosomal RNA". The record is from RNAcentral. Lineage: Eukaryota; Viridiplantae; Streptophyta; Magnoliopsida; Poales; Poaceae.